UCUUUUUAAUAUAAUGCAGUGGGCCCCAGACCUGGGGCUCUUUUCAAGAUGGUGAUUGUUCCCUUAAUUGCAGACAACUGCAGCUUCUGUGCGCUUGGGUGACCGGGGAUUGCCUCAAGGUAUUUCUUCAGGUUCUUCUUCAUCAGGCCUGUUGCCCCCCACCACAUCUGGGAUGAUAUUGAUGUCUUUCCAUGACCAUGUUGUUCAUAGGUCAUUUUUCAGGUCUUGGUAUUUUGUGAUCUUUCCCCUUUCAGCUCGAUUCAGGCCAUAGUCAUUGGGGACUGUCCCAUCGAUGAUUUUGACUGUUUUCCCUUGCUUGUUCCAGGUGCAAUCAAACCUGACAGUAUCAGGUUUGAUAUGUUUUCCUGCUGGGAUCUCUUUGUUGUAGAAGACAGUUACUUUUCCGUUGGACGAGACUGGUGCUGGCUCAUGCUCCCAGAUGUUUUCCUUGACUUCCAUCUCCAGUUCCUUGCAUACCUUCCAGUGGUGAUAUUGACACAUCUUGUUGUGUCGGGAUGUAUAAUGUACGUCUGCCGUAAGGAUCUGGCAUGCUGAUGUUAGAUGGUUUACACUUUCAAGAGCUGUAUGGCAGAAUCGGCAUUUGUCAUUUUGUGAGAUCCCUGCCAUUUUUUUGAAGCCAUUUGUUAGGAGUCCCUGAUCUUGUGCUCCAAUCAGAA
This is a long non-coding RNA of Thalassophryne amazonica, 677 nucleotides long. RefSeq lists it as uncharacterized. The transcript has 2 exons. The record is from RefSeq and is a predicted model, not a curated record. Lineage: Eukaryota; Metazoa; Chordata; Actinopteri; Batrachoidiformes; Batrachoididae.